RNAcentral lists this ribosomal RNA (448 nucleotides) under uncultured Gracilibacter sp. RNAcentral describes it as "partial 16S ribosomal RNA". It matches the Rfam family "Bacterial small subunit ribosomal RNA", at positions 360 to 822 of the family's 1533-position model. The record is from RNAcentral. Lineage: Bacteria; Bacillati; Bacillota; Clostridia; Eubacteriales; Gracilibacteraceae.
AAUAAUGGGCAAAGGACGAAAGUAGGAACCAGCAAUGACGNGUGAANGAUGAAGGUAUUUGGAUUUUAAAACUCUGUGUUCAGGGACGAACAAGAUGACGGUACCUGAGGAGGAAGCCCAGGCUAACUACGUGCCAGCAGCCGCGGUAAUACGUAGGGGGCGAGCGUUGUCCGGAAUUUCUGGGCGUAAAGGGCGAGUAGGCGGUUUUACAAGUUAGAUGUGAAAUACCAGGGCUUAACCCNGGAAACGCAUUUGAAACUGUAAGACUUGAGUGCAGGAGAGGAAAGUGGAAUACCCAGUGUAGCGGUGAAAUGCGUAGAUAUUGGGGGGAACACCAGUGGCGAAGGCGACUUUCUGGACUGUAACUGACGNUGAGGCGCGAAAGCGUGGGGAGCAAACNNGAUUAGAUACCCUGGUAGUNCACGCCNUCNACCAUUNUGGUAGGGUA